UACGAAGGGGGCUAGCGUUGCUCGGAAUCACUGGGCGUAAAGCGCACGUAGGCGGCUUUUUAAGUCAGGGGUGAAAUCCUGGAGCUCAACUCCAGAACUGCCUUUGAUACUGGAAAGCUCGAGUCCGGAAGAGGUGAGUGGAACUGCGAGUGUAGAGGUGAAAUUCGUAGAUAUUCGCAAGAACACCAGUGGCGAAGGCGGCGACCUGGUCCUUUUACUGACGCUGAGGCGCGAAAGCCAGGGGAGCAAACGGG
RNAcentral lists this ribosomal RNA (254 nucleotides) under uncultured bacterium. Its description in RNAcentral is "partial 16S ribosomal RNA". It matches the Rfam family "Bacterial small subunit ribosomal RNA", at positions 524 to 776 of the family's 1533-position model. The record is from RNAcentral.